CCUACGGGCGGCAGCAGUAGGGAAUAUUGCUCAAUGGGGGAAAGCCUGAAGCAGCAACGCCGCGUGAAGGAUGAAGGUUUUCGGAUUGUAAACUCUUUUUGUUAGAGAAGAUAAUGACGGUAUCUAACGAAUAAGCACCGGCUAACUCCGUGACAGCAGCCGCGGUAAUACGGAGGGUGCAAGCGUUAAUCGGAAUCACUGGGCGUAAAGAGCGCGUAGGCGGGAUAGCAAGUCAGAUGGUAAAUCCUAGGGCUUAACCAUAGCACUGCAGUUGAAACUGUAAUUCUAGAGUAUGGGAGAGGUAGGUGGAAUGCUUGGUGUAGGGGUAAAAUCCUUAGAGAUCAAGAGGAAUACUCAUUGCGAAGGCGGCCUGCUGGAACAUAACUGACGCUGAUGCGCGAAAGCGUGGGGAGCAAACAGGAUUAGAUACCCGAGUAGUC
Molecule: ribosomal RNA, 440 nt
Filed under: uncultured bacterium
Lineage: Bacteria
Description: partial 16S ribosomal RNA
Rfam family: Bacterial small subunit ribosomal RNA
Source: RNAcentral